AUUGAACGCUGGCGGCAGGCCUAACACAUGCAAGUCGAGCGGAAACGAGUUAACUGAACCUUCGGGGAACGUUAACGGCGUCGAGCGGCGGACGGGUGAGUAAUGCCUGGGAAAUUGCCCUGAUGUGGGGGAUAACCAUUGGAAACGAUGGCUAAUACCGCAUAAUAGCUUCGGCUCAAAGAGGGGGACCUUCGGGCCUCUCGCGUCAGGAUAUGCCCAGGUGGGAUUAGCUAGUUGGUGAGGUAAGGGCUCACCAAGGCGACGAUCCCUAGCUGGUCUGAGAGGAUGAUCAGCCACACUGGAACUGAGACACGGUCCAGACUCCUACGGGAGGCAGCAGUGGGGAAUAUUGCACAAUGGGCGCAAGCCUGAUGCAGCCAUGCCGCGUGUAUGAAGAAGGCCUUCGGGUUGUAAAGUACUUUCAGCAGUGAGGAAGGYGGWGUCGUUAAUAGCGGCMUCRUUUGACGUUAGCUGCAGAAGAAGCACCG
RNAcentral lists this ribosomal RNA (488 nucleotides) under Vibrio sp. R-14825. RNAcentral's name for it is "bacterial SSU rRNA". It matches the Rfam family "Bacterial small subunit ribosomal RNA", at positions 30 to 495 of the family's 1533-position model. The record is from RNAcentral. Lineage: Bacteria; Pseudomonadati; Pseudomonadota; Gammaproteobacteria; Vibrionales; Vibrionaceae.